AAAGUACUUCCUCCGUCCGAAAAUACUUGUCAUAGGAUUGGUUGUAUCUAGAUUUAUUUUAGUUUUAGAGAUAUCCAUUUUUAUUUAUUUUUGUGAUAAAUAAUUCCGGAUUGAGGAAGUAUGAG
Molecule: microRNA precursor, 125 nt
Filed under: Hordeum vulgare
Lineage: Eukaryota; Viridiplantae; Streptophyta; Magnoliopsida; Poales; Poaceae
Description: microRNA MIR1122
Rfam family: MIR1120/MIR1122 microRNA precursor family
Source: RNAcentral